Non-coding RNA from Capsicum annuum, 109 nucleotides. Lineage: Eukaryota; Viridiplantae; Streptophyta; Magnoliopsida; Solanales; Solanaceae. The record is from Rfam.
AACUGUUGGUGGUAUGGACAAUCUCAAAGAAAAGCCUUGAAGCGUUCCCAUGCAUGAUAAAGAUUUUCAUCAGGCUUCUGUUUGAAGCUUACUAUCUCACUGCGAAGUU